RNAcentral lists this ribosomal RNA (1555 nucleotides) under metagenome. RNAcentral describes it as "bacterial LSU rRNA". It matches the Rfam family "Bacterial large subunit ribosomal RNA", at positions 1347 to 2925 of the family's 2925-position model. The record is from RNAcentral.
UAGGUUUCCAGAGUAAAGCUGAUCUGCUCUGGGUAAGUCGGGGCCUAAGGCCAGGUCGAAAGACGUAACCGAUGGACAACAGGUUGAAAUUCCUGUACCUUAAGUAAACAGAACUGUGGGGACACGUGUGGAGAGCACAAGCCGGAAAUGGAAAAGCCGGUGCAAGCGAGGUAGGAGAUGAAUAGGCAAAUCCGUUCAUCAAUCCGAAGACGUGAUGCGGACCGAAUUAAGAGUAGGGAAGUGUGUGAGCCAUGCGUCAAGAAAAGCCGCUAUUGUUUUACUUAAGCCCGUACCGUAAACCGACACAGGUGGAUGAGGAGAGAAUCCUAAGGCCGACGGGAGAAGCAUUGUUAAGGAACUCGGCAAAAUGACUCCGUAACUUCGGGAGAAGGAGUGCCAGCGAGAGCUGGCCGCAGAGAAUUGGCCCAAGCAACUGUUUAGCAAAAACACAGGUCUAUGCAAAACCGUAAGGUGAAGUAUAUGGGCUGACGCCCGCCCGGUGCUGGAAGGUUAAGAGGAGAGGUUAGCGGCAACGCGAAGCUUUGAAUUUAAGCCCCAGUAAACGGCGGCCGUAACAAUAACGGUCCUAAGGUAGCGAAAUUCCUUGUCGGGUAAGUUCCGACCCGCACGAAAGGCGUAAUGAUUUGGGCACUGUCUCAACAAUGCACCCGGUGAAAUUGAAAUACCAGUGAAGAUGCUGGUUACCUGCGCCAGGACGGAAAGACCCCAUGGAGCUUUACUCCAGCUUGAUACUGGGAUUCGGUAUUGCAUGUACAGGAUAGGUGGGAGGCUAGGAAGUGAUAACGCCAGUUGUCACGGAGCCGCUGUUGGGAUACCACCCUUGCAGUAUUGGAUUUCUAACCAGCGACCAUGAACUGGUCGGGGGACAAUGUCAGGUGGGGAGUUUGACUGGGGCGGUCGCCUCCGAAAGGGUAUCGGAGGCGCUCAAAGGUUCCCUCAGAAUGGACGGAAACCAUUCGAAGAGUGCAAAGGCAGAAGGGAGCUUGACUGCGACACCGACGGGUGGAGCAGGUACGAAAGUAGGACUUAGUGAUCCGGUGGUAUAAAGUGGGAUUGCCAUCGCUCAACGGAUAAAAGCUACCCUGGGAUAACAGGCUUAUCACUCCCAAGAGUUCACAUCGACGGAGUGGUUUGGCACCUCGAUGUCGGCUCAUCGCAUCCUGGGGCUGAAGUAGGUCCCAAGGGUUGGGCUGUUCGCCCAUUAAAGCGGUACGCGAGCUGGGUUCAGAACGUCGUGAGACAGUUCGGUCCCUAUCCGGCGUGGGCGUAGGAUAUUUGAGAGGAGCUGUCCUUAGUACGAGAGGACCGGGAUGGACUGGCCGCUGGUGUAUCUGUUGCAUACCAAGUGCAUGGCAGAGUAGCCAAGCCGGGACGGGAUAAACGCUGAAGGCAUCUAAGCGUGAAGCCCCCCUCAAGAUGAGAUAUCCCUACGUAAGUAGUAAGACCCCUUGAAGACGACGAGGUAGAUAGGUCAGAGGUGGAAGUACAGUAAUGUAUGGAGCUGACUGAUACUAAUCGGUCGAGGGCAUGACCG